GUAGGUGGCAAGCGUUGUCCGGAAUUAUUGGGCGUAAAGCGCGCGCAGGCGGUUCUUUAAGUCUGAUGUGAAAGCCCACGGGCUCAACCGUGGAGGGUCAUUGGAAACUGGAGAACUUGAGUACAGAAGAGGAAAGCGGAAUUCCACGUGUAGCGGUGAAAUGCGUAGAGAUGUGGAGGAACACCAGUGGCGAAGGCGGCUUUCUGGUCUGUAACUGACGCUGAGGCGCGAAAGCGUGGGGAGCAAACAGGAUUAGAUACCCUGGUAGUCCACGCCGUAAACGAUGAGUGCUAAGUGUUAGGGGGUUUCCGCCCCUUAGUGCUGCAGCUAACGCAUUAAGCGCUCCGCCUGGGGAGUACGGCCGCAAAGGCUG
This 373-nucleotide ribosomal RNA is filed under the name uncultured organism. Its description in RNAcentral is "partial 16S ribosomal RNA". It matches the Rfam family "Bacterial small subunit ribosomal RNA", at positions 527 to 896 of the family's 1533-position model. The record is from RNAcentral.